This 528-nucleotide ribosomal RNA is filed under the name Williopsis saturnus. Its description in RNAcentral is "eukaryotic LSU rRNA". It matches the Rfam family "Eukaryotic large subunit ribosomal RNA", at positions 53 to 579 of the family's 3401-position model. Lineage: Eukaryota; Fungi; Ascomycota; Saccharomycetes; Phaffomycetales; Wickerhamomycetaceae. The record is from RNAcentral.
GAGGAAAAGAAACCAACAGGGAUUGCCUCAGUAACGGCGAGUGAAGCGGCAAAAGCUCAAAUUUGAAAUCUGGUACCUUUGGUGCCCGAGUUGUAAUUUGAAGAUAGUUUUCUGGUGCUGGCCCUUGUCUAUGUUCCUUGGAACAGGACGUCACAGAGGGUGAGAAUCCCGUCUGGCGGGGUGUCCAGUGCUUUGUAGAUUUCUAUCGACGAGUCGAGUUGUUUGGGAAUGCAGCUCUAAGUGGGUGGUAAAUUCCAUCUAAAGCUAAAUAUUGGCGAGAGACCGAUAGCGAACAAGUACAGUGAUGGAAAGAUGAAAAGAACUUUGAAAAGAGAGUGAAAAAGUACGUGAAAUUGUUGAAAGGGAAGGGUAUUAGAUCAAACUUGGUGUUUUGUGAUUAUCUUCCCUUCUUGGGUUGUGCACUCGCAUUUCACUGGGCCAGCAUCGGUUCGGGUGGUAAGAUAAUGACAUUGGAACGUGGCACUACCUUCGGGUGGUGUGUUAUAGCCCUUGUUGAUGUUGCCUGCC